RNAcentral lists this long non-coding RNA (5794 nucleotides) under Eutrema salsugineum. Its description in RNAcentral is "long non-coding RNA (ESAL_LNC000698)". The record is from RNAcentral. Lineage: Eukaryota; Viridiplantae; Streptophyta; Magnoliopsida; Brassicales; Brassicaceae.
AAAAGUUCUACUUUAUUGAUAUGUAAAAGGUUGAAAGGUUACACGGCCAUAAAGGGACUUAUAUAUCGUCCAAGCGGCUUAGACUCAAAGAAAAUAAAAGACUCAAUGCGACAGGACUUGAAAAGGAAAGUGCAACAUCAAAGGGAAAAUAAAACAAAGAAAUUCAAAACUAUUAAACUUAAGUGUAUGAAAACAUUCUGGGAAAAAAACACAAAGAAAAACACACGGUUAAUCAAAAGAUAAUUGAAAUAAUUUGAAAGACUUACCUUAGAUGUUUAGGCGAGAUUGUCCUGUGUUUGAGUUGUCUUUGACCGAGCUUGAAUGUUUCCCUCUAGAUGUCUUGAUUCAUUCUCGAAAUGGAGAGUAUUUGGACUUGGGCUUGACUUGGUAAAAGAGGCCAGAAGUCUUGAUUCUUUGGGCUGUUUGAAGUUGAUGGAAACUCUUGAAAUGUCUCGGUACAAACUUGUAAACAAUGAUCCUUGUUAACCGUCUAUUCUUGGCCUUCUUCUAGUUGUUCUUCUCUUGGUAUCUCUUUGGCUGCGGCUUGUAUGCUUUGAUUAUACUUAUGUUGAAGUACUCUUUCCCUUGCCCUUGUUAUCGGUCCUUCAUGUAAUGCUGGAACUUCAAUGUCUUGGAGUUGAGGCUCGGUUAAAUCUGGUUCAGCUUGUUUGUCUUCAUCAUUUCCUCCCCCUAGAUGAGGUUUUGACCUCAAAACUGGUUCAUCUGCAAGAUAUGAGAAUAAAUCAGAUACAUUGAAAGUUGAAGAUACAUUGAACUCACCUGGUAGCUCAACCUUGUAGGCAUUGUUUUUGAUCUUCUAUAGGAUCUUGAAUGGGCCAUCGCAUCUUGGUGCAAGCUUGGAACUCCUCUGGUUUGGAAAUCUUUCGUGCCUCAUGUGCAGCCAAACCCAUUCUCCUGGUUCAAACACCAUUUCCUUUUGGACUUUGUUGGCGUGUCUCUCGUAUUUCUCAUUUCUUUCUCCAAGUUUUCCUUUGCUUUGUGAUGCAGUUUCUUGACAAACUCAGCUAACUUUUCUCCAUCUAGACUCACGGCUUCAGCUGGUGGUAGUUGGGUGAGUUCUAAUGUCGUAGUAGGAUUGAAACCAUAGAUAAUCUCAAAAGGUGACAUAUUUGUUGUUGAGUGUUGAGCUCUGUUGUAAGCAAACAAUAUGAAGGGAAUACACUCCAGCCAGUUUUUCCCAAUGGUCACUCGAAGCAAUGCAGAUAAUGUUCGGUUCACCACCUCUGUUUAUCCGUUUUUUUUUGGGGUGACAAUUUGUGGAAAAUAAGAGCUUGGUUCCAAGUUUUUUCCAUAAGCUUCUCCAAAAGUGGCUCAGAAAUUUGCUGUCUCGGUCAGAUACAAUUGUCUUUGGUACUCCAUGUAAGCGCACAAUUUCUUUGAAGAAAAAUCCACAGUUUUUGAUGCAUCAUUCACCUUGGCACAAGGUAUAAAAUGUGUCAUCUUGGAGAAUUUGUCCACCACCACAAAAUGGAGUCUUUGUGGUUGAUUUUUGGCAAUCCCAGCACAAAGUCCAUUAACAAAUCAACCUAAGGUGCUGUAGGAAUGGGCAGUGGUAUGUAUAACCUAUGAGGAUAUACUCUUGACUUAGUUUUCUUGCACACCACACACCUUGCACAAUGAACUUCUACGGUCUUCUUGAGGUUUGGCCAGUAGAAGUGUUCUUUCACCAUAGCUAAUGUUUUGCCUUCUCCGAAAUGCCUCAUGAGUCUUCUUCCAUGUGCUUCUCGGACGAUCAAGUCUCUAAGAGAGCAUUGCGGUAUGCAAAAACUCUUAUCUCUGAACAUGAAACCUUCGAAGAUAUAGAACUUACCAUGAGCUCCUUUGCUACACUCCUCAAAGUUCUCUCCUAGCUAUUGAUCCUCUUUGUAUUGAUCUUUGAUGAACUCAAAACCUAUAACCUUGGCUUCCAUUGUCGCGAUUAGUGCAUGCCUCCUUGCAAGCAUCAGCCACUAUGUUGUCUUUACCCUUCUUAUACUUGAUGAUGUAUGGGAAAGUCUCAAUAAACUCCAUCCACCUGGCGUUUCUUCUCUUAAAAUGAGUCUGUCCUCGCAAGUGUUUGAGUGUUUCAUGGUCAGUGUGCACCACAAAUUCUCUUGACAUGAGAUAGUGUUGCCAAGUCUCCAAGGCCCAAACUAGAGCAUAUAAAUCUUUUUCAUAUGUAGUGUAAUUAAGUGUGGUGCUCCACCUAAUUUUUCACUGAAAAAUGUCACUGGUUUCCCCUCUUGUGUCAAUACAGCUCCUAUACUCUACUUCAAAUGUUUUGUUGAAGUCUGGCAAGACAAGAACAAGUGCUUUGGUGAGCUUUGAUAUUUUCAUAUCUUUUCAUGUUUGGGAUGCAUUUUUAGUCCAAAAAUAGAGUCUCAUGUAUGCAUUUUAGUUAGAUUCUUCAUGUUUUUUCCUUGUUUUAGAGUUUUAGGACUUUGCAUUAGGUUCAAGUGAGUCUUGCAUGUUUGGAGAGUCUAUUAGGUACUUUGGAGGUCACUUGGAGUGGAAAAGGUGAAACCAAGUGAAGAAGUGGUGAAAGAAGGAGCAAAAAUAGUGAAAAUGAAGUUUAGAGGCUUAUCGAUAUUUUACUUUAUCGCGGGAAGGUUUUUACUGGCUAAGAAUCCUUCCCGGGAAGCUUUUCUCGGCCAAAGUCACGUACCGGAUCAAGCAGUACCGGCUAAGAUUUCUUGCCGCGGAAAACAAGUUUUAUCGGCUAAAAUAUUGUACUGCAGUACAUGAGUCUCAACCAAAACUUAUACCGGAAAGCCUUCCCGUCCGAUCCAGUCUCUUGUGUCUUCAUGAAAGUUUGAGAACAUUGAGUCCAGUUUCCAGAACACUUGAAGUCAGGAGAUUUGGAGCAGUGAGCUGAAAGUUAUCGCAAACAGAAGAACGACAUGUCUUGGAACCGUUUCCCUGAUCAAUUCAAUGCGCCUCAAAGAGAGGAGGCAAGCUUUACCGAAACAAAGGCUCAAAACCUCGACCUCUUGCCUCGAUCUAUUCUACCCCGAGGCCUCCUCUCUUCACACAUCCUGAGCAAGAACAUAUCCGCCUUGACAUAUAUGCCUCGGGAAGAUCAAGCUGAGACAUGCACGUGUUCUUGAGCAUUUACCCAGAUUUUCAUGCCUCGACAUGGAGGCCUCGGCUUGGAGAUCUAGACAUUGACCCGAGGCAUACCCAUUUUUACCCAAAAAAACGGGUCUAAAAACCCUACUUAUCCUUUAUCUACUUUUAGAACUUGCCUCUUUUGUGAAAACCUCAUAUUUUGUCAAGAGAUAUCUUUGAGUUAAUCAGAUUUAAAGCUAUUUCUUGCAAUCUUAUCAUCUUAUCUCAUCAUUUAAAGCUUCUAAUCAUGAUUAACAACAGUGUGUUAAUCAUGAUUAGAUAGUAGUCUUUUCAUAAGGUUCUAGAUAUGUACAAUAGGGUGCAAAUGUGUUAGAUUAAGGAGUUUAGGAGUUAGAUCAUGCAUUUUCCUUUCUCUAGUUAGCUAUUCCUAAUGCCAGAUCUCUGAUAAUCACUUUGGUCUAGAGUUUAGGCUUUUCACCAUCCAAAAGGUGUUUGAUUAAAUGCCUAAACCAGCUAAUUAGAGGUUUAUACUUUGUUUAUCAUAUAAAUGAUUGUUUAAUGCAUAAAUGACAUAUUAGAGCUGAUUAAUAAUGUUUACUGAUUCAUAUUUCACAAAUGGGAAUUUGGUUAGAAAGUGGAUUAGUAUAUAGAUUAAUUCCUUCAUGAGAGGAUUAGUUUACAUUUGAGUUCUAAGUUGAUUGGAAUUAUUAUUGUUUGUCAUUAGCUCUCUAGUUUAACACUAAUGCACCCUGAUCAACUAUCAUGUCUAGAACCUUUGUUUACAUCAUAUUCAUAUCAUCAUCAUCUUGUCUUUGUUUGUUUUGCUUGCUUUUGAAUCAUCUUGUCAAUCUUAUUUAGUUUCUUUUAAUCAUUUGUUACAAAACUAACCUACUAUGUUUGCUUGGAUUAGGAAUAGAUCACAUAGAUUAGUGAACUAAACCACAUUUUUGGAUUGAUACUCUUUGUGCUACAAUAGACAAAGGGAUUGAUACCCUAAGAGCCUAAAAAAACUCUUGUUUAUCAAUUGGCACCGUUGCCAAAGUGUGGAUUUAGCAUUAGUCUCUGGUUUGUUCUUGAGAUCAAGUGUUUUUGUUUUACUGAUUAAACUUUCUAGUUCUGGUUUUGGAGUUUCAAAUGAAUCGGUGAUGGAGCGACUAAGUAACAAGAUGGAAUGAAGUGAACCACACAAUUGUGAAAGACUUGUGAUAUAACACGAGUUUCUUUGGUCUAGGAGGUACUGGUCUCGAAUAGAACAAAGGAUAAAAUAGGCUUAUUUGCUAAAAAAACUUGCUUAAGAAAAGUUAUACUUUAUUAAUAUGAAAAAGGUUGAAAGGUUACACGGCCGUAAAGGGACUUAUAUAUCGUCCAAGCGGCUUAGACUCAAAGAAAAUAAAAGACUGAAUGCGACAGGACUUGAAAAGGAAAGUGCAACAUCAAAGGGAACAUAAAAAAAGAAAUUCAAAACUACUAAACUUAAGUCUAUGAAAAGAUUCUCGGGAAAAAGACACAAAUAAAAACACACGGUUAGUCAAAAGAUAAUUGAAAUAAUUUGAAAGACUUACCUUAGUGGUUUAGGUGAGAUUGUCGUGUGUUUGAGUUGUCUUUGACCGAGCUUGAAUGUUCUCCUCUAGAUUUCUUGAUUCAUUCUCAAAAUGGAGAGUAUUUGGACUUGGGCUUGACUUGGUAAAAGAGGCCAGAAGUCUUGAUUCUUUGGGCUGUUUGAAGUUGAUUAAAACUCUUGAAAUGUCUCGGUCCAAACUUGUAAACCAUGAUCCUUUUUAACCAUCUUUUCUUAGCCUUCUUCUAGUUGUUCUUCUCUUGGUAUCUCUUUGGCUGCGGCUUGUAUGCUUUGAUUAUACUUGUGUUGAAGUACUCUAGCCCUUACUCUUGUUAUCGGUCCUUCAUGUAAUGCUGGAACUUCAAUGUCUUGGAGUUGAAGCUCGGUUAAAUCUGGUUCAGCUUGAAUGUCCUCAUCAUUCCCUCCCCUUUUGAUGAGGUUUUGACCUAAAAACUGGUUCACCUGCAAGAUAUGGGAAUAAAUCAGAUACAUUGAAAGUUGAAGAUACAUUGAACUCACCUGGUAGCUCAAGCUUGUAGGCAUUGUUGUUGAUCUUCUCUAGGAUCUUGAAUGGGUCAUCUCCUCUCGGUGCAAGCUUGGAACUCCUCUAGUUUGGAAAUCUUUCGUGCCUCAUGUGCAGCCAAACCCAUUCUCCUGGUUCAAACACCAUUUCCUUGCAGCCUUUGUUGGCGUGUCUCUCGUAUUGCUCGGUUUGUUUCUCCAAGUUUUCCUUUGCUUUCUGAUGCAGUUUCUUGACAAUCUCAGCUUUCUUUUCUCCAUCUAGACUCACGGCUUCAGCUGGUGGUUGUGGGGUGAGUUCUAAUGGCGUAGUAGGAUUAAAACCAUAGACAAUCUCAAAAGGUGAUAUCUUUAUUGCCGAGUGUUGAGCUCUGUUGUAAGCAAACUCUAUGAAGGGAAUACACUCUAGCCAGUUCUUCAAGUUUUUCCCAAUGAUCACUUGAAGCAAUGCAGAUAAUGUUCGGUUCACCACCUCUGUUUCUAUGUCUGUUUGGGGGUGAUAAGUUGUGGAAAACAAAAGCUUGGUUCCAAACUUUUUCCAUAAGCUUCUCCAAAAAUUGUUCGAAAAUUUGCUAUCUCGGUCAGAUACAAUUGUCCUUGAUACUCCAUGUAAGCGCACAACUUCUUUGAAGAAUAUAUCACUUUUUG